Long non-coding RNA from Falco tinnunculus (common kestrel), 5504 nucleotides. Lineage: Eukaryota; Metazoa; Chordata; Aves; Falconiformes; Falconidae. The record is from Ensembl.
CUGGCCCUCAGCCCCUGCGGCCAAACCCAGGGGCCUGACGCUGUGGCUUGUUCCACAUUUUUAAAUACUCGCUUGCUGGCUGGAGGUGUGACUGUACCACAAUACACUGUUUCUUUGUGAUGGUUUUAGGUUUGCUACAGCUAUUGCUGUUCGUUGCCAAACACCGUCAGGAAAAAGCAUAAAGCAGGUAGAAUUCCCUUCAGAUAACGGUGGUUCCCACACCCGACCACCAGAAAGCCAUCGCAGAUUCACCUGGAUGUCUGAUUUCCACAGAACCCUACAGCCAUGCAACCUGUUGGUGCCACCCGUGGAAACAAAGCCGAGCCCAGCAGAACUGCCACAACUGAUGCACGAACUGGCCUCCCCAUGAGGAGAAAAGGUGCACGCAGAUGCCACCAGCGGUGCCACCGCAGCUCGGGAACGCCACUUGUCGAGAUCCAGGGGCACUUCCAGGCCGCCGGCCCCUGCGGCGUUGCAGGGGGGCGGGCGGGCAGCGGCGCGGCCGGUGUCGGGAGCCCGGCACGCCCGGGCGGCGGCACGUCCUCAGUGCCCCGUACCCGCCUGAGCUUUGCUGGCCACCAAGGCUUAUCUUCUGGCCUUGCCGUUGCUUUCCUUCUCCCUCACUGUGUUAGCUCGCCUCAGAGAGGAAGGGCCGGAUUCAGGCGCCUCGGAAGAGCAAGGCCAGCGCUUUCCUCUGGGGGAGGGCGGCUAGUGCCACCGCCCGCUGCCGGGAGGCAGCCGCUCGGGCAUUCCUCCCCGGAGACACGCCAACAAGCAGCGCUGCUAAAAUUAACGCUUUACGGACACCCGGGUUUAAUACAAGCUUGGGAAAUGGAAGCGGGGCUGUGGGGGUUGGUUUUUAUUCCGCCUCAGCGCGCAGCGAGCGACCCCGCUCCCGAAGGCCCGCGGCCGCUGCCGCCCGAGGCGGGACCCAGCAGCGGGCGGCUCCUUCCCGCACCCCGCCGCCGGGCCGGUGCCAGGGGCCGUCCCUCGCUCCCCGCGGCGCCGCCCUCCCGCCGCUCCCCCGCACCCCGUGACGGUCCCGCCCCGCCCGGCGGCAGCGGCGGGGAGCGUGGGGCUCCGCUCGGCGCGGAGCGGCCAUGGGCUCGGCGGCGGAGCUGCUGCCGCCGCUCGGCGAAUCCGAGCGGGAAGCGGGGGCGGCGGCCGCCCGGCACCGGCGGCGCCCUGAGGAGCAGGUCCAGCAAGCACAAAGAAACCACACAGCAGAACCUGUAAUAGAUGACUACAAAAAGAUGGGGACUCUCUUUGGUGAACUAAACAAAAGCCUUAUCAGAAUAGGCUUCACAAGGAUGUACUUUGGAGAACGGAUAGUAGAACCCGUAAUAAUUAUAUUCUUCUGGGUUAUGCUCUGGUUUCUUGGCCUACAAGCUCUUGGACUGGUUGCUGUUCUGUGCCUUGUCAUUAUUUAUGUACAACAGUAAAAUUUUAUAGAUGCUGUUUAGAUUAUCUAUCUCAACUCUGUCACUAUGUCAGUGGAUUUAUGUUUAAGUAAAUGGGUGGCAUAUCAAAAGCUGCGAUGCUUCAAAUUGCAUUUCACUGAACUUCCAAAAUUUGGGGUGAGGGGGACUAAAAUUAUGCAUUGUAAGCAAAGUCAGCAGUGCCCUACUACAUCUUCGAAGGGCAAAAAAGGAGGUGUUUGUAAUAUAAUGGUGUCCAAUAUACUGUUUUCUGCAUUCUUGGGGCCUUAGUCCAAGGACUGGCUUUUUGUUCCUCCCCGCUCCCCCAGCGUUCUUGCUUUGUAUCAUGAAAAUUUCCUGUCUGGUUUCAAGAGGACACUUGAUGUGAGUGUCCUGUUUCACUGUUGGGUGGGGUUUGUGUGCUGUUUGUUCCCUGAAUCUGCAUAAUUUGCUGGCUUCUUGCUGAAAAGCUAAAUCUGCAUGAGAGAGGUUUGCUAACAAACCUACAAUGUUAAAUGUUCGUAAGGUGAAUACAACUUCCCAGCACAAAAGCAUCUUUGAUUAGUACAGUUUUAGCAAGCUUUCCCCUAGGAAACAAGCUAUGCCAGCAAAAUGCUUUUAUACUAAUAUCAGUGAAUUCACACAAGGCUUCAGCUGUUGUUUAGAAGGAAUCACAGUCCUGUACUGGCCAAAUGGUCUAAUGUAACUCUGCCUUGUUUUUGGAAAUGUACUCUCCACUGCUAUUUUUCUUUUUUUUUUUAAUACUUGCUCUUUCCCCCAGCCCUCCUUCUGAAGAUAAAUAUUUGUAUAAUUCAUGGACUUUGUAGGUAGUUACAGCUGCAGUGUUGGAGAGUUGCCAUUCCAGCAAUGCUAGAAUAUUGUCUGCUUCCUCUGGCUUGCGUGUGAAGUGUCUGAACAACCAGAUAGGUAUCAGACCAGCUCUCUUAAGGCUUCCCUAAUUUGCUGCAGUGUGGACCCAACACAAGCUGGAGGCUUUGCGUAUGUAAGCAAAUCAGACCUGUUUCCUCCUGUAAGGCAAGAACGUAGCUGAAAUCCGGUGGUCAUUUUAUUUAGUAGUCUUAACUGAUUCAUUUCCAUGCUAGGCAACAAAAAUGUGUAUGUAUAGGUGCAUGUCAUGGGCAACACAAAUCUGAGAAUAGGAUAUAUCCGUUCAAGAGUAAGUGCAAAAUUCACUUUGGCUCCCCAGGAGCCACACCACGGGUGUAUCAAAUAUUUCCAAGUUGAAAAUGCUCAUUUAAAGAAAAACGGUAAAAUGAGACAUAAUCUUUACUAAAUAGGCUACCAAUUUAAUAUUUGCUGUACAUUACUUUUAGUAAGAAAAUUGCAAAAUUGACUCCAUCUGUGGUAAAAUGAAAUUAUACAUUUACUUAAAGAAAUGUAAUGUAAAGAAAUGACAUUUACAGAAAACUACUUACACAUUUUGCAGUGACUUUUUUCCUAAAAAUUUUUAUACUAGCAGAGACCAGCAGCAGAUUAGUUGAAAAUGCUGUCUUAUCCAGAGACUUUGAAGGGGAGCAUUUCUAUCGUCCCAGUCCUGCAACUGCAUUCUCAAGGCCAAUUUUAUGCCUACACGGAUUGUGUUGGUUGCUGGGCUCUAUUUCCUUACAGACCUGGGCCCCAGUCCUUACAGACUUUCCUAUUAGUGAAAUAAUUGUUAUUUAGGGCAGUGAACAUGAAGGCCCAGCUCCUUUAAAGUCUUUAUGUGCAUAAAUGCCAUCUAUGGACAGGUCUGUGCUUUUCUAAUGAAUGCACAGUUACCUGCUGAGCAGAUCUCCUCUCCAGAUCUUCAUACAACUUUGGUGGAUCCAAGGGGCUCAGCUGAACUGGCAGGGGGGUGGGACUGAGGUCCCCUGUGUGUUUAGAUGGCACCUGUGGUGAUUGGCACCUAGUUAAAUAGUUAACGCUGGUGGCAGGCAAACAUUUGACAACAGAAGGUGAUCCUGGAUGCAGGGGUUUGUUGUUCACAACUGCAAGUCCCAAAGCAAACAGCAAGUACAGGCUGAACUCAAAGAGGCAGGAGCUCUGUACUCCCAAGUGCCUAGGGGUAAACUUUGGUUUUGUUUCAAGUCCCUUAGACAGCAGAACACCUGUUUACACCUUUGCAUAUUUGUAUAGAUAUAACGGUGGGUUUAUGUGUAUUCUUCUCCUGUAUAAGGGCUGUACUACAAAAGCAUCUUGUCAUUAAAAAAAAAAUAAAAAUCCUUCCUUUCUUCCCACAAUCAAAUUACUGUUCAGAGGUCCUCAUCCUUUCAUCCUGUAGGAAAAAGUGUCUCUGUGAUAUCCAUGUUGCAGUAGUACUCUUGUGUAAAGACACUGUGCUGUGAGAUGGCAUGUAGUACUUCCCUGAAGUGGUGAUUUUGCUCUGUGCAUAAGGAAUGAACCGACAGUGUGACCGACAAGUUCAGUGAGGGCACUGUUUAUAUACUUGUAAUCUUUUAGUAUGUGCAUAAUUAUGUUUCAUUCAUGAAGUCAUUUCAGUUGUUCUUUUGAUGUUCAUGUUUGUAUACAUGUACUUUAGGGAAAGGUAGCUUUUGGACUUCUUUUAGAUUGUGUACAGUGAAUGUUUUAUAUGGUUUCUCUUAAGGGUAACUUAUUACGUCUUGUCCUUCAUAGAAGUUUUUUUUAUUUUAAAAAACCUGAAAAAAUAUCCCUGCUAAUGGAGUUAGGUUGACUGAAAGUGAAAAAAGAAAAAUAAUGUGUUGUAUGGAAGAUAACCCUCACCUGUUUGGUUUCAUACAUAGAUAAGAAUUUGCGCCAAAUCAUCUGUCUAAUUUUGUGCUAUUGCUAUAGUAUCUCCCUGUCAUUUGCAGGAAAGGAGAGUUAAGGAAAAAAGGAGGAUAGAAUCAGACAUGGAGAGUGGAAAAUGGAAUGCAGUGAAAUGGUGCAUAUAUGUGUAAAAUCUGAUUGUAAAUGUGUACCAAAAGUGAAGGGGGAGAAUAGGUAAACAGUCCUUGUAUUGUGUUCUUUCUUGCAUCCAGACAUAGUUCUAAGGCAGAAGCACCAAGCAUUCAAAGGGUGUCCCUAGCUAAAAAGCAGAAGGUUAAUUAAAAAAAAAAAAAAGACAAUUUCACUGUUGUCUAUAUGGUAAAAAUUGAUACAUUUUUAGCAAUGUUAUUUAUAUUGGUGUAUAGGAUCGUUAUUCUUGAUAGAACUGAAAGUGCUUUUAUGCUUCUGUGUGUAGGGCUGUAUGAAGGAAUUAUGGCCCUUAAAUCUGUGUUAAAAAACAAAUUACAUAAUUCCUGUUGGUCAGUGUAACAUAUCGAAAGCUUUUUACAUAACCUUUGUUUUUUAAAGGAUGGACUCUUCAGUACGGUUUCACACCCACCAAAUGCACAAAUGUUUGAACUACUGUGUACAGAGAAGAAACUCUACAUGUAGGAGAAUCUUGGAGAAUGCUGUUUGCACUGAAAAAUCAUCACAUCAAACCUGUCCAUAUGAAAAGGAAAAAUAAUAUUUCUUAACAACUCUGUAUUAAAUGAAUCCUAUGGAAAGCACUUUGUUAUUCUUUCUAAUAAAAAGAAUUGCCAUCAAUGAGAACUGUGAAUUCUUUGUGGUCCUUUGUUCAAGGUUACUUGACUCCUUUCAAAAUUUCAUGGCCCAGAUGGAAUGGGGCAUCAUUCAGAUAUCCACUGAGGUCAGUUAACUUGCAGCUAGUCAAAAAACAACUGCAGUACAAGACCUGAAUAAACUGGAUCAGGUCUCUGUGGUUGAGUGUGCAGCAGUUACACUGAAUUAAAGAAAAAGAAAGUAGUAGAUCUAAAUGUUAACAAAUAAUGGCAAGUGUGGUGUAAAGUAGCUUUUAUUUCACAGCUUAUUGAUUUUGUAUCCAGAGCAGCCUCUGAAGGAACCAGAUGUGGUCAGGGGUGUGAAACAUCCUUCAAAGUGACAAUUGCUGUGCUACAGAAAGGUUUGGGAGUUUUUGUUUGGUUUUUAAAUAUUCAUAGAACAUACGGUUCAAGACAAAUCCACUUCAAACUGUUCAUUCUUUUUUUUUCUGCAGGUCAGAAGGGUGUUCGUUCUUCUAGAUCCAACAGACAAAUGUAUCCGUGUUGCUCAGGAUGCACA